ACAGGUGCUGCGAUGGCUGUCGUCAGCUCGUGUCGUGAGAGUGUUCGGGUUAAGUCCCGUAACGAGCGCAACCCUUGUCCUUAGUUACCAGCACGUUAUGGUGGGCACUCUAAGGAGACUGCCGGUGGACAAACCGGAGGAAGGUGGGGAGUGACGUCAAGUCAUCAUGGCCCUUACGGCCUGGGCUACACACGUGCUACAAUGGUCGGUACAAAGGGUUGCCAAGCCGCGAGGUGGAGCUAAUCCCAUAAAACCGAUCGUAGUCCGGAUCGCAGUCUGCAACUCGACUGCGUGAAGUCGGAAUCGCUAGUAAUCGUGAAUCAGAAUGUCACGGUGAAUACGUUCCCGGGCCUU
RNAcentral lists this ribosomal RNA (354 nucleotides) under uncultured Pseudomonas sp. RNAcentral's name for it is "bacterial SSU rRNA". It matches the Rfam family "Bacterial small subunit ribosomal RNA", at positions 1034 to 1382 of the family's 1533-position model. The record is from RNAcentral. Lineage: Bacteria; Pseudomonadati; Pseudomonadota; Gammaproteobacteria; Pseudomonadales; Pseudomonadaceae.